Molecule: ribosomal RNA, 496 nt
Filed under: uncultured bacterium
Lineage: Bacteria
Description: partial 16S ribosomal RNA
Rfam family: Bacterial small subunit ribosomal RNA
Source: RNAcentral
GAUGAACGCUGGCGGCGUGCCUAAUACAUGCAAGUCGAGCGAACAGAUGAGGAGCUUGCUCCUCUGACGUUAGCGGCGGACGGGUGAGUAACACGUGGAUAACCUACCUAUAAGACUGGGAUAACUUCGGGAAACCGGAGCUAAUACCGGAUAAUAUAUUGAACCGCAUGGUUCAAUAGUGAAAGACGGUUUUGCUGUCACUUAUAGAUGGAUCCGCGCCGCAUUAGCUAGUUGGUAAGGUAACGGCUUACCAAGGCAACGAUGCGUAGCCGACCUGAGAGGGGGGAGGGACAGACGUGAAACGAGACGCGGAACAGGAGCAUACGGGAGGGAGCAGCAGGGAAUCGGCCGAAAUGGGCGAAAGACUGAAGGAGCAACUCAGAGGGAAAGAUGAAAGUUUUAGGAACGUAAAAAGCUGUUAAGAGGGAAGAACAAAAGAGAAAGUAACAAUGCAGGGCCAGAAGGUACCUAAUAAGAAAGCGACGACUAACUACGU